GACGAACGCUGGCGGCGUGCUUAACACAUGCAAGUCGAACGGAAAGGCCCUGCUUUUGUGGGGUGCUCGAGUGGCGAACGGGUGAGUAACACGUGAGUAACCUGCCCUUGACUUUGGGAUAACUUCAGGAAAAUGGGGCUAAUAUCGGAUAGGAGCUCCUGCUGCAUGGUGGGGGUUGGAGAGUUUCGGCGGUUGGGGAUGGACUCGCGGCUUAUGAGCUUGUUGGUGGGGUAGUGGCUUACAAAGGCUUUGAAGGGUAGGCGGCCUGAGAGGGUUAACGGCCACAUUGGGACUGAGAUACGGCCCAGACUCCUACGGGAGGCAGCAGGGGGGAAUAUUGCACAAUGGGCGGAAGCCUGAUGCAGCAACGCCGGGUGCGGGAUGACGGCCUUCGGGUUGUAAACCGCUUUCGCCUGUGACGAAGCGGGAGUGACGGUAAUUGGUAAAGAAGCACCGGCUAACUACGUG
This 468-nucleotide ribosomal RNA is filed under the name uncultured bacterium. RNAcentral's name for it is "partial 16S ribosomal RNA". It matches the Rfam family "Bacterial small subunit ribosomal RNA", at positions 28 to 507 of the family's 1533-position model. The record is from RNAcentral.